GUUUGAUAUCAGGACAAAACUUACUAGUUAUACAAAAAAGAUAAUUUUCUGCUAUUGAUUUAAAAUGUUUUGCGUGCCUUUUCAGGGUCCAGGGACGCACUCCAAUGAGGCAGUGAAACAUCAUUUGGAAGCUGUUCAUUACCUUCAACUUUUAUGAAGGUGCAAUGAUGUCAAUGAACCAUGAAUUAAAGAGUCUCCUAAAUAGGUCCUGACAAGACUGCUACUUCUGUGAAAGAGCCAUUACCAUCCUUCAGGUGUUGUAACGUCUUCACAGGCAGUGGGAGCAAUGACCAGGCCAUAUUUCUGUCACAAGAACCAGUCAAGUGUCAUCUUAUGUCAUUUGUCAAUAGUAUAACAUAUCACGUGGCAGUGCUGACCUGUGUAAUGUUUCACUGAGUUGUGUAUCUUCUUUUCUGGAGCUCACUCUGUAAAAUAGGUAUCCUGCUGAAGGAACCUGCUCUGAAGAGUUCCUUCACUGUGCAGUCUUUCAGGACCAAGAAGUAGUCUUAUGUUAGGAUGGAUAUCUUUUGCUGAAAUUCUUCAGUGAGGCAUGGUGGUUCAUAUACUUCCUCAGCUUGCUCUGCCAGUGAUACUGAAGACUUCAUGAGUGAUACAUCUCAGUACACAUCUGUUGCUCGAUUUAUGAUGAAAACUGAAGUUUUUGCUUCUGUGAUAGGGAAUUUGUUGUUUGCUAUAAAUGUGGAUGUUGUUUUCUAGCAGGAUAGUUUGAAGCAUUUUUUCCUUUUUUAACUUAGUUUUGGUUCAGUGGUACUCUUUAAUACAGAAGAUAAACAAGAAGGGCCUGUGUAUAGAGACUUAUGUGUCUUGCACUGUUGCAUUCUUAUUUCUUCUUUGGUAUUUUGGGUCAUGGAUUCUAAGAGGCCAGUGGAAAAUUAUCCUGCUGUUUGUCUAUCUCCUGUUACUUAAAGAAUUAUGCUUAUAUAUAGUCCUAUUUUUGCUAAUUUCUUUCCAUGAAAAACGUAUCUCCAUCCAUAAAAUGUUAUGGGAUCUUUUGGUUUGCAGCAAAGCUUAAAAAAAUAAUAAUAUAAUAGUGUUAUUUUUAUUUCUUGCUUUCCUGGAGAGCCUC
Molecule: long non-coding RNA, 1087 nt
Organism: Cygnus olor (mute swan)
Lineage: Eukaryota; Metazoa; Chordata; Aves; Anseriformes; Anatidae
Exons: 6
Source: RefSeq, a predicted model, not a curated record